Molecule: microRNA precursor, 103 nt
Filed under: Marmota monax (woodchuck)
Lineage: Eukaryota; Metazoa; Chordata; Mammalia; Rodentia; Sciuridae
Source: RNAcentral
AAUGAGAUAGCUGGGUCAAAUGGUGGUUCCAUUCUAAGUUUUCUGAGGAAUCUCCAUAGUUAUUUCCAGAGUGAUUGCACUAAUUUGCAGUCCCACCAGCAAU